UACGGAAGGCAGCAGUGGGGAAUAUUGCACAAUGGGCGCAAGCCUGAUGCAGCCAUGCCGCGUGUAUGAAGAAGGCCUUCGGGUUGUAAAGUACUUUCAGUCGUGAGGAAGGUGUUAAGGUUAAUAACCUUAGCAAUUGACGUUAGCGACAGAAGAAGCACCGGCUAACUCCGUGCCAGCAGCCGCGGUAAUACGGAGGGUGCGAGCGUUAAUCGGAAUUACUGGGCGUAAAGGGCACGCAGGCGGUUAAUUAAGUUGGAUGUGAAAUUCCCGGGCUUAACCUGGGAAUGGCAUUCAAGACUGGUUAGCUAGAGUCUUGUAGAGGGGGUAGAAUUCCAUGUGUAGCGGUGAAAUGCGUAGAGAUGUGGAGGAAUACCGGUGGCGAAGGCGGCCCCUGGACAAAGACUGACGCUCAUGUGCGAAAGCGUGGGGAGCAAACGAGGGAUUAGAUACC
This 454-nucleotide ribosomal RNA is filed under the name uncultured bacterium. RNAcentral describes it as "bacterial SSU rRNA". It matches the Rfam family "Bacterial small subunit ribosomal RNA", at positions 340 to 786 of the family's 1533-position model. The record is from RNAcentral.